GCUGGGGACACCUCACAAUCAUGGCGGAGGGUAAAACGCAUGCCUUACGUGGCAGCAGGCAAGAGAGAAUGAGAACCAAGCAAAAGCGGAAACCCUUUAUAAAAGCAUCAUAUCUCUCUGUAUACCUUUUACUUCCUUUUUCCCCCUUAUUCAGGUGGGCCUGGUGACUUCAGUUUAGGAAGGUUAUAAAUUAUUGAUUCAAUUUCUUUAAUAGAUAUAGGCUUAUUCAGAUUGUUUAUUUGUUCUUGUAAGAGUUUGGUGGAUUGUAUCUUUUAAGGGAUUUGUAAUGGAGAACAAAAAAAGGCAGGGGUUGCAAUCCUAGUCUCUGAUAAAACAGACUUUAAGCCAACAAAGAUCAAAAGAGACAAAGAAGGCCAUUACAUAAUGGUAAAGGGAUCAAUUCAACAAGAAGAGCUAACUAUCCUAAAUAUAUAUGCACCCAAUACAGGAGCACCCAGAUUCAUAAAGCAAGUCCUGAGUGACCUACAAAGAGACUUAGACUCCCACACAAUAAUAAUGGAAGACUUUAACACCCCACUGUCAACAUUAGACAGAUCAAUGAGACAGAAAGUUAACAAGGAUACCCAGGAAUUGAACUCAGCUCUGCACCAAGCAGACCUAACGGACAUCUACAGAACUCUCCACCCCAAAUCAACAGAAUAUACAUUUUUUUCAGCACCACACCACACCUAUUCCAAAAUUGACCACAUAGUUGGAAGUAAAGCUCUCCUCAGCAAAUGUAAAAGAUCAGAAAUUAUAACAAACUGUCUGUCAGACCACAGUGCAAUCAAACUAGAACUCAGAAUUAAGAAACUCACUCAAAACCGCUCAACUACAUGGCAACUGAACAACCUGCUCCUGAAUGACUACUGGGUACAUAACGAAAUGAAGGCAGAAAUAAAGAUGUUCUUUGAAACCAAUGAGAACAAAGACACAACAUACCAGAAUCUCUGGGACACAUUCAAAGCCGUGUGUAGAGGGAAAUUUAUAGCACUAAAUGACCACGAGAGAAAGCAGGAAAGAUCCAAAAUUGACACCCUAACAUCACAAUUAAAAGAACUAG
This 1063-nucleotide long non-coding RNA is filed under the name Homo sapiens (human). RNAcentral describes it as "non-protein coding lnc-C6orf118-5:1". The record is from RNAcentral. Lineage: Eukaryota; Metazoa; Chordata; Mammalia; Primates; Hominidae.